Molecule: ribosomal RNA, 230 nt
Filed under: uncultured Alicycliphilus sp.
Lineage: Bacteria; Pseudomonadati; Pseudomonadota; Betaproteobacteria; Burkholderiales; Comamonadaceae
Description: partial 16S ribosomal RNA
Rfam family: Bacterial small subunit ribosomal RNA
Source: RNAcentral
AGAGAUGCACUGGGCUUAAAGCGUGCGCAGGCGGUUUUGUAAGACAGAGGUGAAAUCCCCGGGCUCAACCUGGGAACUGCCUUUGUGACUGCGAGGCUGGAGUGCGGCAGAGGGGGAUGGAAUUCCGCGUGUAGCAGUGAAAUGCGUAGAUAUGCGGAGGAACACCGAUGGCGAAGGCAAUCCCCUGGGCCUGCACUGACGCUCAUGCACGAAAGCGUGGGGAGCAAACA